GAGUUUGAUUCUGGCUCAGAACGAACGCUGGUGGCGUGCUUAUACAUGCAAGUCGAGCGAGGCAGCAAUGCCGAGCGGCGAACGGGUGAGUAACGCGUAAGCAAUCUGCCCCAUAUCAGGAAAUACCCGUGCCAACGCGCGGUUAAUGUCCAGGAGAGUGGCCUUCUGCAUGGAAGGUUGACUAGAGAUUUAUCGGUAUGGGAUGAGCUUGCGUCCGAUUAGCUAGUUGGCGGGGCAACGGCCCACCAAGGCGACGAUCGGUAGCCGGCCUGAGAGGGUGAUCGGCCACAUUGGGACUGAGAUACGGCCCAGACUCCUACGGGAGGCAGCAGUAGGGAAUAUUGCACAAUGGGGGAAACCCUGAUGCAGCAACGCCACGUGUGGGAAGAAGCAUUUCGGUGUGUAAACCACUGUCAUGAGGGAAUAAGGCCCUUAUCCGUAAGGGACUUGAAUGUACCUUGAGAGGAAGCACCGGCAAACUUCGUGCCAGCCGCUGC
This 497-nucleotide ribosomal RNA is filed under the name uncultured bacterium. RNAcentral's name for it is "bacterial SSU rRNA". It matches the Rfam family "Bacterial small subunit ribosomal RNA", at positions 9 to 518 of the family's 1533-position model. The record is from RNAcentral.